RNAcentral lists this ribosomal RNA (438 nucleotides) under Salmonella enterica subsp. enterica serovar Cerro. Its description in RNAcentral is "partial 23S ribosomal RNA". It matches the Rfam family "Bacterial large subunit ribosomal RNA", at positions 1154 to 1566 of the family's 2925-position model. Lineage: Bacteria; Pseudomonadati; Pseudomonadota; Gammaproteobacteria; Enterobacterales; Enterobacteriaceae. The record is from RNAcentral.
CGUAUCACCCAAGACAACUUUACGGAGUUGACGAUUGACGGAGCGAAGCGACGUCAAAGCGUUCAUUAAAGUCGAGUUGGCUUAGGGAUACGUUCGUUGGGUAGGGGAGCGUUCUGUAAGCCUGUGAAGGUGGCCUGUGAGGGUUGCUGGAGGUAUCAGAAGUGCGAAUGCUGACAUAAGUAACGAUAAAGCGGGUGAAAAGCCCGCUCGCCGGAAGACCAAGGGUUCCUGUCCAACGUUAAUCGGGGCAGGGUGAGUCGACCCCUAAGGCGAGGCCGAAAGGCGUAGUCGAUGGGAAACGGGUUAAUAUUCCCGUACUUGGUGUUACUGCGAAGGGGGGACGGAGAAGGCUAUGUUGGCCGGGCGACGGUUGUCCCGGUUUAAGCGUGUAGGUGUGUGUUCCAGGUAAAUCCGGUUCACUUUAACACUGAGGCGUGA